CCUACGGGUGGCAGCAGUGAGGAAUAUUGGUCAAUGGCCGGAAGGCUGAACCAGCCAAGCCGCGUGAGGGAAGAAGGCCCUCAGGGUCGUAAACCUCUUUUGCCGGGGGGCAAAAUGCCGGACUCGACCUGUCGUGAGGGUACCCGGAGAAAAAGCAUCGGCUAACUCCGUGCCAGCAGCCGCGGUAAUACGGAGGAUGCGAGCGUUAUCCGGAUUGAUUGGGUUUAAAGGGUGCGCAGGCGGAGGCUCAAGCCAGCGGUAAAAUCGCGGGGUGCAACCCCGCAGCGCCGUGGAAACUGGGGCCCUUGAGUGCGGGAAGGGCAUGCGGAAUGCGUGGUGUAGCGGUGAAAUGCAUAGAUAUCACGCAGAACCCCGAUUGCGAAGGCAGCAUGCCGGCGCGCUACUGACGCUGAGGCACGAAAGCGCGGGUAUCGAACAGGAUUAGAUACCCUGGUAGUC
This 459-nucleotide ribosomal RNA is filed under the name uncultured bacterium. RNAcentral describes it as "partial 16S ribosomal RNA". It matches the Rfam family "Bacterial small subunit ribosomal RNA", at positions 338 to 795 of the family's 1533-position model. The record is from RNAcentral.